Molecule: ribosomal RNA, 253 nt
Filed under: uncultured bacterium
Lineage: Bacteria
Description: partial 16S ribosomal RNA
Rfam family: Bacterial small subunit ribosomal RNA
Source: RNAcentral
GACGUAGGGGGCCAGCGUUGUUCGGAAUUACUGGGUGUAAAGGGUUCGUAGGCGGUGCGGCAAGUUGGGAGUGAAAUCUCUGGGCUUAACCCAGAGGCUGCUUCCAAAACUGCUGUGCUCGAGUGUGAGAGAGGCGCGUGGAAUUGCAGGUGUAGCGGUGAAAUGCGUAGAUAUCUGCAGGAACACCCGUGGCGAAAGCGGCGCGCUGGAUCACUACUGACGCUGAGGAACGAAAGCUAGGGGAGCAAACAGG